RNAcentral lists this ribosomal RNA (616 nucleotides) under uncultured bacterium. RNAcentral's name for it is "bacterial SSU rRNA". It matches the Rfam family "Bacterial small subunit ribosomal RNA", at positions 1 to 619 of the family's 1533-position model. The record is from RNAcentral. RNAcentral also lists the same sequence under 1 other name.
AUUGGAGCCUUUUAAAAAAUAAAAACGCUCGGCGGCGUGCUUAACACAUGCAAGUCCUUGCUGCGCAGGUGCCGUAGCAAUACGGUACUGGCGCACGGCGCACGGGUGCGUAACACGUGGGUAUCUGCCCUCUGAUGGGGAAAACCCGCCGAAAGGCGGGCUAAAUCCGCAUAACAUUCCUUGGACUCCGGUUCGAGGAUUCAAAGGCGUAAGUCGUCGGAGGUGGAGCCCCCCCACGAUUAGCUACUCGGUGAGGUAAUGGCUCCCCAAGGCUAUAAUCGUUAGCUGGUCUGAACGAUGGCCAGCCACACUGCAACUGAUGAGACACGGUCCUGACUCCUACGGGAGGCAGCAGUGGGGAAUCUUGCACAAUGGGCGAAAGCCUGAUGCAGGGACGCCGCGUGGGGGAUGAAGCUUCUCGGAGUGUAAACCCAUUUCGACCGGGACGAAUACCUCGCAAGAGGGGUGACGGUACCGGUAUAAGGAGCCCCGGCUAACUACGUGCCAGCAGCCGCGGUAAGACGUAGGGGGCCAGCGUUGCUCGGAAUUACUCGGUGUAAAGGGUUGGUAGGCCGUGUGGCAAGUCGGGAGUGAAAUGUCUGGGCUUAACUCAGGG